AUGAAUCAUUUGUGACUGAGCGGCGGACGGGUGAGUAACGCGUGAGUAACCUGCCUGCGAGAGGGGGAUAACAACGGGAAACUGUUGCUAAUACCGCAUAACACAUCGAUUCCGCAUGGAGAUGAUGCCAAAGGGAAACCGCUUGCAGAUGGACUCGCGUCUGAUUAGGUAGUUGGUGAGGUAACGGCUCACCAAGCCGACGAUCAGUAGCCGGACUGAGAGGUUGAACGGCCACAUUGGAACUGAGAUACGGUCCAGACUCC
This 263-nucleotide ribosomal RNA is filed under the name uncultured bacterium. RNAcentral describes it as "partial 16S ribosomal RNA". It matches the Rfam family "Bacterial small subunit ribosomal RNA", at positions 73 to 339 of the family's 1533-position model. The record is from RNAcentral.